This 194-nucleotide unclassified non-coding RNA is filed under the name uncultured fungus. Its description in RNAcentral is "partial contains 18S rRNA, ITS1, 5.8S rRNA, ITS2 and 28S rRNA". Lineage: Eukaryota; Fungi. The record is from RNAcentral.
AGGGAUCAUUACAGAGUUCUCGCCCUCACGGGUAGAUCUCCCACCCACUGUUAUCGUUACUGUCGUUUCUUUGGCGGGCCGCCGGCGUCUAAUAGGCGGCGUGUGCCCGCCAGAGGCCACUAAACUCUGAAUGUUAGCGUCGUCUGAGUACUAUAUAAUAGUUAAAACUUUCAACAACGGAUCUCUUGGUUCUG